RNAcentral lists this microRNA precursor (93 nucleotides) under Canis lupus familiaris (dog). RNAcentral's name for it is "mir-8799 microRNA precursor family". It matches the Rfam family "mir-8799 microRNA precursor family". Lineage: Eukaryota; Metazoa; Chordata; Mammalia; Carnivora; Canidae. RNAcentral also lists the same sequence under 1 other name. The record is from Rfam by way of RNAcentral.
GGGGGAGCACAGGAUCCAGGGUUGUGUCCCCCGGCUACCUGGCCUCCGGGGCCUGCGCUGCUGGAAUCGUGAUCCCCGGCCACACAGGCCCCU